GUGCUUGUUUCAGCAGCACAUAUACUAAAAUUGGUAUGAUACAGAGAAGAUUAGCAUGGCCCCCGUGCAAAGAUGACACACAAAUUUGUGAAGCGUUCCAUGUUUUA
Small nuclear RNA from Ochotona curzoniae (black-lipped pika), 107 nucleotides. Lineage: Eukaryota; Metazoa; Chordata; Mammalia; Lagomorpha; Ochotonidae. The record is from RefSeq and is a predicted model, not a curated record.